CCCGCACAAGCGGCGGAGCAUGUGGUUUAAUUCGAAGCAACGCGAAGAACCUUACCAGGUCUUGACAUCCCGAUGCUAUUUCUAGAGAUAGAAAGUUACUUCGGUACAUCGGUGACAGGUGGUGCAUGGUUGUCGUCAGCUCGUGUCGUGAGAUGUUGGGUUAAGUCCCGCAACGAGCGCAACCCUUAUCUUUAAUUGCCAGCAUUCAGUUGGGCACUUUAAAGAGACUGCCGGUGUUAAACCGGAGGAAGGUGGGAUGACGUCAAGUCCUCAUGGCCUUUAUGCUUAGGGCUACACACGUGCUACAAUGGGUGGUACAAAGAGAAGCCAACUCGCGAGAGCGCGCCAAUCUCAAAAAGCCAUCCUCAGUUCGGAUUGGAGUCUGCAACUCGACUCCAUGAAGUUGGAAUCGCUAGUAAUCGCGGAUCAGCAUGCCGCGGUGAAUACGUUCCCGGGCCUU
RNAcentral lists this ribosomal RNA (460 nucleotides) under uncultured Smithella sp. RNAcentral's name for it is "bacterial SSU rRNA". It matches the Rfam family "Bacterial small subunit ribosomal RNA", at positions 920 to 1382 of the family's 1533-position model. The record is from RNAcentral. Lineage: Bacteria; Pseudomonadati; Thermodesulfobacteriota; Syntrophia; Syntrophales; Smithellaceae.